RNAcentral lists this ribosomal RNA (253 nucleotides) under uncultured bacterium. RNAcentral's name for it is "partial 16S ribosomal RNA". It matches the Rfam family "Bacterial small subunit ribosomal RNA", at positions 524 to 776 of the family's 1533-position model. The record is from RNAcentral.
UACGUAGGGAGCAAGCGUUGUUCGGAUUUACUGGGCGUAAAGGGCGCGUAGGCGGCGCGGUAAGUCACUUGUGAAAUCUCUGAGCUUAACUCAGAACGGCCAAGUGAAACUGUUGUGCUAGAGUGCAGAAGGGGCAAUCGGAAUUCUUGGUGUAGCGGUGAAAUGCGCAGAUAUCAGGAGGAACACCGGUGGCGAAGGCGGCAUCCUGGCCCUGACCUGACGCUGAGGCGCGAGAGCGUGGGGAGCAAACCGG